Molecule: non-coding RNA, 91 nt
Organism: Danio rerio (zebrafish)
Lineage: Eukaryota; Metazoa; Chordata; Actinopteri; Cypriniformes; Danionidae
Source: Rfam
UUGUGGUGAGGUAGUAAGUUGUGUUGUUGUUGGGGAUCAGUAUAGUAUGGCCCUUGAAGGAGAUAACUAUACAAUUUACUGCCUUCCAUAA